Molecule: long non-coding RNA, 347 nt
Filed under: Olea europaea (common olive)
Lineage: Eukaryota; Viridiplantae; Streptophyta; Magnoliopsida; Lamiales; Oleaceae
Description: long non-coding RNA (OEUR_LNC004668)
Source: RNAcentral
UAAAUAUAGUCGAAACUGGGAAAUUUUUGAGUGUAAUAUUUCUCAUUUAUACUAUGGCAUACCUUAAGAGCUUGUAGAAGAAUCUGUUCGUAGUUAUCGGAGCUCUAGUGUUCAUAUAUUCUUGUUUGGACUGAAGUGAUAGAUCUCUGUUUGACUGGUUAAUUAUUUUCCUCUUGCUCUUAUUGUUAGUAUUUGGAUUCUGGAAUCAAGUUUAGGAUUAAAAUUAUGUGUUGGAGCAGUAGAGUUGUGGAUGAUUUCUUGAGCUGAAUUAUUGGCCUGAGGUUAGCUAUUGACUAUAACACAUCACAAUGCAAAUCCAACAGAUGUAGAUCAUAGACAUACUUGUG